Molecule: non-coding RNA, 104 nt
Filed under: Kitasatospora setae
Lineage: Bacteria; Bacillati; Actinomycetota; Actinomycetes; Kitasatosporales; Streptomycetaceae
Also listed under: 1 other name
Description: Glycine sequence
Rfam family: Glycine riboswitch aptamer
About the family: This family represents the bacterial glycine riboswitch. Glycine riboswitches usually consist of two metabolite-binding aptamers domains with similar structures in tandem.
Source: RNAcentral
CGAACCCGCGCGGGAGAGCCGGAACGGCCUGCUCAGGCCGCGACCGGCGCCGAAGGAGCAAGUCCUCCCCGGAAUCUCUCAGGCACCCCUACCGCCCGGGCUAG